GAUGAACGCUAGCUACAGGCUUAACACAUGCAAGUCGAGGGGAAACGGCAUUGAGUGCUUGCACUCUUUGGACGUCGACCGGCGCACGGGUGAGUAACGCGUAUCCAACCUUCCCAUUACUGUGGGAUAACCUGCCGAAAGGCAGACUAAUACCGCAUAGUCUUCGAUGACGGCAUCAGAUUUGAAGUAAAGAUUUAUCGGUAAUGGAUGGGGAUGCGUCUGAUUAGCUUGUUGGCGGGGUAACGGCCCACCAAGGCUACGAUCAGUAGGGGUUCUGAGAGGAAGGUACCCCACAUUGGAACUGAGACACGGUCCAAACUCCUACGGGAGGCAGCAGUGAGGAAGAGUGGACAAGGGACGGAAGUCUGAACCAGCCAAGUAGCGUGCAGGAUGACGGCGCUAUGGGUUGUAAACUGCUUUUGUAUGGGGAUAAAGUUAGGGACGUGUCCCUAUUUGCAGGUACCAUACGAAUAAGGACCGGCUAAUUCCGUG
Molecule: ribosomal RNA, 492 nt
Filed under: uncultured bacterium
Lineage: Bacteria
Description: partial 16S ribosomal RNA
Rfam family: Bacterial small subunit ribosomal RNA
Source: RNAcentral